UGCUGCAUGGUUGUCGUCAGCUCGUGCCGUGAGGUGUCGGGUUAAGUCCCAUAACGAGCGCAACCCUUAUCGUUAGUUGCCAGCUGGUAAAGCAGGGGACUCUAGCGAAACUGCCACCGUAAGGUGAGAGGAAGGUGGGAUGACGUCAAAUCAGCACGGCCCUUAUGUCCAGGGCUACACACGUGUUACAAUGGCCGGCACAGAGGGCAGCUACCUGGUGAUAGGAUGCUAAUCUCGAAAAACCGGUCUCAGUUCGGAUCGAAGUCUGCAACUCGACUUCGUGAAGCUGGAUUCGCUAGUAAUCGCGCAUCAGCCAUGGCCGCGGUCGAAUACGUUCCGGGCCUU
RNAcentral lists this ribosomal RNA (345 nucleotides) under uncultured Sphingobacteriales bacterium. RNAcentral describes it as "bacterial SSU rRNA". It matches the Rfam family "Bacterial small subunit ribosomal RNA", at positions 1039 to 1382 of the family's 1533-position model. Lineage: Bacteria; Pseudomonadati; Bacteroidota; Sphingobacteriia; Sphingobacteriales. The record is from RNAcentral.